UAUCGUGUCGUAUCCGUGUCGCCAUAUCCGUAUCGGUGCAACAUAAACUUAAGCAUACAAAAUUAGGUCAAAUCCCAAAACAGUCCCUUCUAUUUGAAUUUUUCCUACUAAAACCUCCUUCGUUUCCUCUUAAUCAAGCAAGUGGACCCCCACCUUCAAGGGUGGCAAGCAUGGAGGGCAAAACUUCCAUGUCACUCUUAUAAAAUUAGACCGGUCCUUGGACCUGUCUAUUAAUACUCCCCUCCCUAAGAGCUACUUUGUCUUUAAGGUGGAAGGAGGGAAAUUGAUGUUCACCCUCUCGUAUGGUUCUCAAGUGACAUCAUAGUUAGUUAAUCUCUUUCACUUAAUCAACCCUUCAUUAGACUUGCCCUUUCCUUGUCAGAGCCCUUUAAGCUCAUGUGGUUCCAAAACCACCUCCAUUGUAGUUCUGAACUAGUUGCAUGAUCCUCCGCUGCUCUCCUCAACUGUGAAACAUGGAACACUUGGUGUAUGAACGCCGUCGGGGAUAAACUCAAGCAAUAAGCCACUGCUCUAAUCCCCUCCAAUACCUUAUAAGGGUCAAAAUACCUCGCGGCUAACUUCUCAUUUCUUCAGUUGGCUACUACCCUGUCCGUUUGGUCGCAGCUUUAAGAAUGGCGUAUCCGCAAUGACAAACUAGAUGUCCUUCUUGUGUUCAUCUACCUGCUUCUUCAUAAUUUGUUGAUCCUUAGUAGGUGUCUUUUUAACUCCUCUAGCACCCUAUCCCUUUCCUCCAAGUACUGCUUUACUGAAGAUACUUGUGUGCCUCUAUGCCUAAAAUAUAUCAAAUGUGGAGGGAUCUCCUAUACAACGUCUUAAAAGGAGUCAUCUGGUAGGCAUAGAGGUACAAAAUGCCAGUAUUCUGCCCAUGCCAACCACUUGACCCAUACCCUAGGUGCUUCUGAAGCAAAACAUCGCAGGUAUGUCUCCAAGCCCCAGUUUACUACUUCUAUUUGCCCGUUUGUCUCUAGAUUAUAAGCGGUGCUUCUCUUCAGUACUGUUCCCUGUAGCCUAAACACCUCCCUCAAAAAAUGACUGAGGAACACCUUAUCUUUGUUUGAUACUACAGACUCUGGUAUCCCAUUUAACCUAACCUCUUCCCUGAUGAAUGUUGCUGUUAUCAUCACUUUCGUGUAAGGAUGUCAUAGGGGGAUGAAGUGAACGUACUAUCUCAAUCUAUCAACAGCCAUCAGAAUCAUAGUAAAUCUUUUUAAUUGAGGUAACCCAUCAAUAAAGCCCAUGGUGACCUCAUCCCUUACCCUAUUUAGUAGUUCUAUGGGGUUGAAGUUGUAAAACCCGAAAACAGUCGUUCGAAUGUGUCACACACAUUUCGAUGUGUCGCGACAAAUUUAGGAAAAAUUUCAAAGUUGUCAGAAUUCGACGAAAUAAAUUUUAUUAAAUUCUACACGAAAUUUCGAUCGAAAUGGUAUAAAGAACUUAUAACAAAUUUCACUAGGUUUGAGAAUUAAAAUUUUUUGAAGAUGGUUUAAGUAAAAUUUUAGCCUUUCUUCUUUUUUUGCCCUUUAUAUGACAUUAGAGAAGAUUAUGGGAGAGGGGCAUAUGCGUCCUUUUGCAUAUUACUAAUUUUUAAACCUUAAGGGAUUGAAAUAAUCGGUCCAUUGUGUUUCUUUCAGCCGUGAGAGAGGAGAGCAGACGGGAGAGAAGGGGAGAACGGUGGGGGACGCGUGAAAGCCGGCGGUCGGCUUGGUUUUCCGGUGAGAUUCCUUAGGAAAAAGCUAGAGGAAGGCUUGGAGAAGAUAAGAGGCGCACAAGGAUCUCAAAACACCAUUUUUGAUGCCAGGGUGCAAAGUUGCCGACGAUUAUGGGAUUAUGCUAAUAGCAGUGUGGGGAUUAUCUGAUAUCUAUAGUUCUAUUAUUGCUUGGUGACUGCUCUGGGGAUCAAUACUGAAGGGGGAUUACUGAUGGCAAAGUAUAUUGGAAGACAGAGGGGAACAAACUCCAUUAUAGGUAUAUGCUGACAAUCAUGGACAAUGAGGAAUUCUUUGAGCAGGAAAGACCAAUAUCCUUGAGUGAUACUAGGCUCUUAGUUAUCAUAUGAAAACAGGCUUCAUGGCAAGUGUUUUGGGUGGUACCUGCUACUAUGUCUUCUCUGAAACUUGGAACUGAUUUCUUUGCCAAUAAGUUCUCAGUUGAAACAAUAUGAACUAGAGCUCGUGCUAUGAUAUCUGAACUCUUGAACCAUUUGCAAGAUUGGAACAAUAGAAGGUCGUUCACCUCAGCUAGUGAUUUUCAUGCUUUUGAAGCAAGCAGUGAAGCUUUUGCGCUAACUGAAAAUAGUAGAGCAUCCGAGUUACUAAAACAGGUUCCGUUUUAGGUACCAUUUACAAGCAGGGUUAAAAUAUUCAAUGUGAGAACAACCACUCCACACCUUCCCAAACAUGCCCGCACACGCAUAAGUGAUGUCAUCUCUAGGGCCACUUGAACUUAUAAUUUUAUUACGAAUAGUCCAAUUGAUCUUUUUUAUAAGAUGGACUUAUUGAUGGGGACAUCUAUGCAUGGAAAGCUUAUCAUAGAAGGGGCCGUAGAUCGACGGCCACAUUUGAGUCGUUAUAUUAUUAGUUGUUA
Dendrobium catenatum is the source of this 2604-nucleotide RNA transcript. It is a transcript of the gene named E3 ubiquitin-protein ligase UPL6-like, with no coding region annotated. The transcript has 7 exons. NCBI's taxonomy places the organism in Eukaryota, Viridiplantae, Streptophyta, Magnoliopsida, Asparagales, Orchidaceae. The record is from RefSeq and is a predicted model, not a curated record.